Molecule: ribosomal RNA, 434 nt
Filed under: uncultured Lachnospiraceae bacterium
Lineage: Bacteria; Bacillati; Bacillota; Clostridia; Lachnospirales; Lachnospiraceae
Description: partial 16S ribosomal RNA
Rfam family: Bacterial small subunit ribosomal RNA
Source: RNAcentral
ACGGAAGGCAGCAGUGGGGAAUAUUGGACAAUGGGGGAAACCCUGAUCCAGCGACGCCGCGUGAGUGAAGAAGUAUUUCGGUAUGUAAAGCUCUAUCAGCAAGGAAGAAAAUGACGGUACUUGACUGAGAAGCUCCGGCUAAAUACGUGCCAGCAGCCGCGGUAAUACGUAUGGAGCAAGCGUUAUCCGGAUUUACUGGGUGUAAAGGGAGCGUAGACGGUAAAGCAAGUCUGAAGUGAAAUCCCGGGGCUCAACCCCGGAACUGCUUUGGAAACUGUUUAACUAGAGUGCAGGAGAGGUAAGCGGAAUUCCUAGUGUAGCGGUGAAAUGCGUAGAUAUUAGGAGGAACACCAGUGGCGAAGGCGGCUUACUGGACUGUAACUGACGUUGAGGCUCGAAAGCGUGGGGAGCAAACAGGAUUAGAUACCCUGGUA